GACGAACGCUGGCGGCGUGCUUAACACAUGCGAGUCGAACGGAAAGGCCCUGCUUUUGUGGGGUGCUCGAGUGGCGAACGGGUGAGUAACACGUGAGUAACCUGCCCUUGACUUUGGGAUAACUUCAGGAAACUGGGGCUAAUACCGGAUAGGAGCUCCUGCUGCAUGGUGGGGGUUGGAAAGUUUCGGCGGUUGGGGAUGGACUCGCGGCUUAUCAGCUUGUUGGUGGGGUAGUGGCUUACCAAGGCUUUGACGGGUAGCCGGCCUGAGAGGGUGACCGGCCACAUUGGGACUGAGAUACGGCCCAGACUCCUACGGGAGGCAGCAGUGGGGAAUAUUGCACAAUGGGUGGAAGCCUGAUGCAGCAACGCCGUGUGCGGGAUGACGGCCCUCGGGUUGUAAACCGCUUUCGCUCAUGACGAAGCUUUGUGUGACGGUAGUGGGUAAAGAAGCACCGGCUAACUACGUG
RNAcentral lists this ribosomal RNA (469 nucleotides) under uncultured bacterium. RNAcentral describes it as "partial 16S ribosomal RNA". It matches the Rfam family "Bacterial small subunit ribosomal RNA", at positions 28 to 507 of the family's 1533-position model. The record is from RNAcentral.